GAUACUACGCCGGCUGAACGGACUACAUUGAUGUUGUAAAUUACAAGAAUAACCUCUUUAGUAUCU
Molecule: transfer RNA, 66 nt
Filed under: Plaxiphora albida
Lineage: Eukaryota; Metazoa; Mollusca; Polyplacophora; Chitonida; Mopaliidae
Description: tRNA-Ile
Source: RNAcentral